Molecule: ribosomal RNA, 253 nt
Filed under: uncultured prokaryote
Description: partial 16S ribosomal RNA
Rfam family: Bacterial small subunit ribosomal RNA
Source: RNAcentral
ACGUAGGCAGCAAGCGUUGUUCGGAAUUACUGGGCGUAAAGAGUGUGUAGGCGGUGUCGCAAGUUUGGUGUGAAAUCUCCCGGCUUAACUGGGAGGGUGCGCCGAAAACUGCGAUGCUUGAGUGUGGGAGAGGGAAGCGGAAUUCCUGGUGUAGCGGUGAAAUGCGUAGAUAUCAGGAGGAACACCUGCGGUGUAGACGGCUUCCUGGACCACCACUGACGCUGAGACACGAAAGCGUGGGUAGCAAACAGGA